Long non-coding RNA from Aplysia californica (California sea hare), 416 nucleotides. RefSeq lists it as uncharacterized. The record is from RefSeq and is a predicted model, not a curated record. NCBI's taxonomy places the organism in Eukaryota, Metazoa, Mollusca, Gastropoda, Aplysiida, Aplysiidae. The transcript is spliced from 2 exons.
AGAACUUGGACGAGUUCAACAGGGUGGGGAAGAUGUCGGGAUGAAGAAGAGGACGAGAGUACGACAUGUUAUAACACGACGAGAACAAAAAUACGGUUUCGACAGCAGAGCUGGUGGCCAAAGUGUUUACGCCGUUCCCCCCGACCAGCCACCGAAUUCCACGGAAUGCCAUGGCAAAGAACGCUCGACUUGUCAACGCCACAGUCAUUUUACUGGCGAAAAACGUCACAAUGCAAGAUAAUCGGGCGGCUAAAAAGGCAGAGGUAGAUCAUGAACAACUUGGAUGCAUGGCGUCAAAGAGGUCAACCAACAGAGUAACAUCCCAACAGAAUCCAUCCACCUAGCCUUUGACCGAAAACUGCACAUACAUCCCUUCUACAUCUUACGGUGGAAAAAAUAAAAAUAAAAUUACCUGU